AGGAAAUGGUUUCUGGAAAACAUUAGUAAGGUCAGUUUUUAAACACUGAAUCCAAGGUUGUCUUCUGGAAUAUCCAAAUUGGUUAUGACCAGAAUGUGAUUCAUUAUACUAAGCUAAAGGAAUAGAUUAAAGAAUUAGCAACAGUGGCCGGGUGCAGUGGCUCAUGCCUGUAACCCCAGCACUUUGGGGGAGGCCCAGGUGGGUGGAUCAUUUGAGGUCAGGAGUUUGAGACCAGCCUGGCCAACAUGGUGAAACCUAAAAAUACAAAAAUUAGCCAGGUGUGGUGGCAGGUGCUUGUAAUCCCAGCUGCUUGGGAGGCUGAAGCAGGAGAAUUGCUUGAACCCGGAGGCAGGGGUUGCAGUGAGCCAAGAUCACACCAUUGCACUCCAGCCUGGGUGGCAGAGUGAGACUCUGUCUCAAAAAUUAAAAAGCAACAGUGUAUAUGCAAUAGUUGCAAGAUGUAAGAUCACCCAAAGAGUAUGCAGAGGGAAAUGAGGGACAGAACCCAGAAAUAUUAAUACCCAGGGAGUGAACAGGAGGAGGACCCCAAGAAGUUACUGAGUCAGAUUUUUCCCACUCAUCCAGGUGAAAGUUUAGGUCAAUAAUGUGAAAUACCAGAGGGAUUAAAUGUCUACAGAAAUAAAACCAUGUCUCACAUUAAGACAAACAAGUAGGUUGGAGGGAUAUUUUGAAAGGCAAGGUGAUAUUAAACUUUAUUCUGAAAGUAGUUUGUUAGAGAAAGAGGCAUGAUAAGAGUUGCAGUUAACUGAUUGGAAACUAUGCAGCAGAUGAAACUGGAAUAAAGGAAACUCAUCAGGAAAUGAUUAUAGUAAUAAGGGCCAGAAAUAAGGGCUUGCUUGCCUGAACUAAAAACAAAGAGGAUACAAAGGUUCUAGAAAUAUUUCAAAGGAAUUAGCUUUAAUUCAGCAAUACUCAUUGAGAAUCACCUAUGCACCUGGCUCUGAAGAUGAAGUGCUGAGUAAACUUAGACAUGGACCCUGCUAUCAUGGAGAUGGCAGAUUAUUGGUCAGAAUGCUCUUACCUGUCAUUGUAGCAAUUUUGUUAGAUCCUUAAUACCUCUGAAUUGCUAAUAAACUUGUUUUGGCUGAAAAAAUAGUCCUGUGAAUUUUACCAUGCAGUUAAAUAAGAAACUAAAAGCAAACCUAAAUACCACCAAAAAGGUUAGUAGUCUGUUAUAUGCAUUAGCCUUAAUCUAAGGAAAUAUUUUAUUAUAGGUCUCCUUGAAGAAAAUGAUAUUUUCAGGAAUGCUCAAGCAGGUGUUCUCAUCAGCACUAAUAGUCAUCCAAUCUUAAGGAAAAACAGAAUAUUUGAUGGAUUUGCCGCAGGUAUUGAAAUUACAAAUCACGCAACUGCAACACUAGAAGGCAAUCAGAUUUUUAACAACCGGUUUGGAGGCUUAUUUUUAGCAUCUGGUGUUAAUGUGACAAUGAAAGAUAACAAAAUAAUGAACAAUCAAGAUGCCAUAGAAAAGGCUGUUAGUAGAGGCCAAUGUUUAUAUAAAAUAUCAAGUUAUACCAGCUAUCCCAUGCAUGAUUUCUACAGAUGUCAUACUUGUAACACCACAGAUCGAAAUGCCAUAUGUGUGAACUGCAUUAAGAAGUGCCAUCAGGGACAUGAUGUAGAGUUUAUUAGACAUGAUAGGUUUUUCUGUGACUGUGGUGCUGGAACACUGUCUAAUCCUUGUACAUUAGCUGGUGAGCCUACACAUGAUACAGAUACACUAUAUGACUCUGCUCCACCUAUAGAAUCUAAUACAUUGCAGCACAACUGAAUUCCUUCCCUAAAGAAAAAGUCCUGCCAUUGUAACAUCAUAACUUAAAACACUUUUUUGGAAGAAGAUUUAAAAUAUUUGCCCAUGCUACAGGAAGAGACUGUAUUAAAAAUGGAUACACAAGGUCAGUUGACACUAUGAAGCUCAAGCUACCAAAAAGAAAGUGGCAAUAUAUUGACUCAGGAUCUCAAAGCUGGGUGUUUUAGCAUUACUGUGUAAAGACUUGAAGGGACAGAAGUGAAGAAAAUAAGCUGCAAUUUUGUACAGAUACCAACUUCUGAAAAGCUGGUGUUUUUACAACUAGCAUUGAAUGCAGUCCAAUUUGCAGUAGUAAUCUUCAAUAGACAAGCAGCUUUGUUGCUGCCUUUAUGGACAUGGGUACCAAUUGCUUUUGUAAUAUGGUAAAAAUGUGAGCUAGCACUUCUGCGUUCCUUUUGAUUUUUUUUUUUUAACAUGUAUUCAGAUUGAGAAAUAUGAUUUUAAUGCUUUAAUCUCAUGUAGUUUGUUUUUAAUUUCAAGCAAAAUCUUACUGUACUUGAAUGUGCCCUGUUUUGUUAGCACACCUAGACUUGCUGUAACUGUACUCAUGUCCCAGUAUGUACGUUCUUUCUAUGAAAGAGAAAACACUAAUCUUAAAUUAUAUCCAGCAAUGUUUCUGGUAUCCUUUAAGAAAAGUUAAGACUAUUAUUUCCUUCCCUUCCCUGUGCAGCAUUCAAAAUCACCCCUAGAAAAAGUGAGUGUUUUAAUGAGACUUCCUAGGAAGGGAUGCACUGUAAAACAAAAGUAUUCUUGUAACUCAGUUUUGUGAAAGGUAAAAAACUACUAUGUUUUAAGUACACUUUAGAAAGUCUCUUCAAAACAAACAGUCCUGUAUUUGAACUCUGUUCAUAGUUUUUUUUUGAACAGUUUAGACAAAACUGCUGGAAAUUAAACCAAUUUCCUGCAUUAAGCUGAGACAAGUAUAUAUACAGCCCUAUACAGUUUCAUAGCUUUUCCUCCCCCAUUUAUGUGUAUUGGUGACAGUGGGUAUAAAACAGCCUGAAAGUGUAUGCAUGUACCAUAACAUCUAGACUUAAUAUAUUGUGGAGUAUUCAAUAACCAUUAUGUAGAAGGUAGAUAAGAAUUAAAAGGGUUUAAUUUCCUAGAAAGAAAAUGGAAAAAUGGUCAUUUUUAAAAAAUAAAGUUUAUUAGAUCAUAAUGUUGUCUGAAUUUACCACCUUUGUCAGAAGUCAACUCAAAGCUUCCAAUGUAGUCAGUCUAUAAUUCCUUAAUCAAAGUCAGCAAUUUAUGGACAGCUUCAGCAUCUACAGUUGACCUUUCACUAGCCAGGCAAACUUCCCUUAAAAUUAAAAAAAAAAAAAAAAAA
RNAcentral lists this long non-coding RNA (3158 nucleotides) under Homo sapiens (human). Its description in RNAcentral is "non-protein coding lnc-KCNK12-5:2". The record is from RNAcentral. Lineage: Eukaryota; Metazoa; Chordata; Mammalia; Primates; Hominidae.